UACAGUUUUAAAAUCUGUAUCCCAAAACAAAGAUCUCAUCAGAUCUCAGAAGCUAAGCAAGGUUGGGAUUGGUUAGUACUUGGAUGAGAUACUGCUGGGAAUACAGGUGCCACAGUGA
Molecule: ribosomal RNA, 118 nt
Filed under: Periophthalmus magnuspinnatus
Lineage: Eukaryota; Metazoa; Chordata; Actinopteri; Gobiiformes; Gobiidae
Source: RNAcentral